RNAcentral lists this ribosomal RNA (597 nucleotides) under uncultured bacterium. RNAcentral describes it as "bacterial SSU rRNA". It matches the Rfam family "Bacterial small subunit ribosomal RNA", at positions 338 to 960 of the family's 1533-position model. The record is from RNAcentral.
CCUACGGGAGGCAGCAGUGGGGAAUAUUGGGCAAUGGAGGAAACUCUGACCCAGCGACGCCGCGUGCGGGAUGAAGGCCUUCGGGUUGUAAACCGCUUUCAGUAGGGAAGAAGCGAAAGUGACGGUACCUACAAAAGAAGCACCGGCUAACUAUGUGCCAGCAGCCGCGGUAAUACAUAGGGUGCAAGCGUUGUCCGGAAUUAUUGGGCGUAAAGAGCUCGUAGGUCGUUUGUUACGUCGGAUGUGAAAACCUGAGGCUCAACCUCAGGCCUGCAUUCGAUACGGGCAAACUAGAGUUUGGUAGGGGAGACUGGAAUUCCUGGUGUAGCGGUGGAAUGCGCAGAUAUCAGGAGGAACACCAAUGGCGAAGGCAGGUCUCUGGGCCAAUACUGACACUGAGGAGCGAAAGUCUGGGGAGCGAACAGGAUUAGAUACCCUGGUAGUCCAGACCGUAAACGGUGGGCACUAGUUGUGGGAACCUUCCACGGUUUCUGCGACGCAGCUAACGCAUUAAGUGCCCGCCUGGGGAGUACGAUCGCAAGAUUAAAACUCAAAGGAAUUGACGGCNGAGACGUGCGACGACGACGACGAGGAGAG